CAACCUCAACUCAUAUGGGACUACCCCCUGAAUUUAAGCAUAUUAAUUAGGGGAGGAAAAGAAACUAACAAGGAUUUUCUUAGUAGCGGCGAGCGAAAAGAAAACAGUUCAGCACUAAGUCACUUUGUCUAUAUGGCAAAUGUGAGAUGCAGUGUAUGGAGCGUCAAUAUUCUAGUAUGAGAAAUUAAUGAUUUAAGUCCUUCUUAAAUGAGGCCAUUUACCCAUAGAGGGUGCCAGGCCCGUAUAACGUUAAUGAUUGCUAGAUGAUGUUUCCAAAGAGUCGUGUUGCUUGAUAGUGCAGCACUAAGUGGGUGGUAAACUCCAUCUAAAACUAAAUAUAACCAUGAGACCGAUAGUAAACAAGUACCGUGAGGGAAAGUUGAAAAGAACUCUGAAUAGAGAGUUAAACAGUACGUGAAACUGCU
This 425-nucleotide non-coding RNA is filed under the name Drosophila sechellia. RNAcentral's name for it is "Eukaryotic large subunit ribosomal RNA". It matches the Rfam family "Eukaryotic large subunit ribosomal RNA", at positions 1 to 409 of the family's 3401-position model. The record is from Rfam by way of RNAcentral. Lineage: Eukaryota; Metazoa; Arthropoda; Insecta; Diptera; Drosophilidae.